This 939-nucleotide unclassified non-coding RNA is filed under the name Hevea brasiliensis (rubber tree). The record is from RNAcentral. Lineage: Eukaryota; Viridiplantae; Streptophyta; Magnoliopsida; Malpighiales; Euphorbiaceae.
AGCAAUUGAUUCUUAUCUUAAGGUAAUUCAUCCUUCUUCUCCUAGCCAGAAUAUUUUUUUUUUGGCUUUAGAACAAGUAUUAAGAAUAUAAAACAGUACAAAACCUAAUGUGUACUUGAAUCUUAAAUGCAAGAACAGAAUUUCUGGCAAAACAUUUUAGUAAAACUUAGAACAGAGAUUUAUAUUCUGUGGCAGCUCUUCAAGCUUGGAGAUUAGAACAAAAAAAUUGUAGAAAAAUAAUCCAUUCAUCAUAUGCGUUUAAUAUGCACGUACAAGUGUUUAAUAUCCAAAUCAAGUUAUGUAUAUGUACCACUUGAUGAGUAGAUAUAUCAAUCAUAAAUGUAAGCAGAAAACCAUCUGUUAAUAUAUCAAUCAUAAAUGUAAGCAGAAAACCAUCUGUUAAUAAGAAACAAAUCAUAAAUGUGAGCAAGACAUACCAUCUAGUCAAAAAAGGAAAAGAAAUCAAAUACAAUGGUCCCCUAUAAAUCCAUGACCACAGACAAACAUUUCUUUCAUUCAUAAUCAUACAAUAGCUCAUCAGGAUAAUGAGAGCAGUAACAAUGUAAAAAGUAUGUGCAUCAUCUUGAUAGCAGUGGCAUUCGACUAUUGCCGCUUAAGAAACUAAUUUCAGCUAGUAAUUUCAGAGGAAAUUAGAGGAAUCCAUUGCAGAGGGAACUAAAGUAUUCUUUACUUCAGCCAAAUUUAUGGGGUUUCAUGGUGGCAACUUGCAACUUUUAGGAUCAAAUUUCCACAUGUUAGGCAAUUUGAUUUUGUGAUCUUCCCUUGUUCUAAAUUCUUAUUUGAAUCACGAUAUAACAGGCACAUCCAACACUCUCUGAGCAUGAAAGAAAGCGCCUAUGCCGUGUGAUGGACUGUCAAAAACUCUCAAUUGAUGCAUGUAUGCAUGCUGCUCAAAAUGAGAGACUACCACUUAGGGUU